Long non-coding RNA from Prosopis cineraria, 1080 nucleotides. RefSeq lists it as uncharacterized. The record is from RefSeq and is a predicted model, not a curated record. The transcript has 6 exons. NCBI's taxonomy places the organism in Eukaryota, Viridiplantae, Streptophyta, Magnoliopsida, Fabales, Fabaceae.
UUGACACGCAAGUAACGUGUAAUUUAAGAGCUUGAUCCGAAACUUUGCAAACAAUUGUAUUUAAUAUUUAUUAUUGCCUGGUCUAAAAGUAUUAGAUUUGCAUUGGUAAAAGAAAUGCGAUGUGGAAGUCCUUGACAUUGACAUCGUAGCAACUUUCGGCGAGACAAAUGACUCAGAUGGUCUCUGCUUCCUUUUUUAAUCCUUGAGGCCGACCUAUUCACUUUCGGAGGAGCUGACCGCCUUGGAAGAGACGGAGCUUCAAUUGCAACAUUCCAGACAAAGUGAGGCGAAUCUUCAAAUGGCUUAUGGCGGUGUAAACGGCCUGAUUUUCUCCAUAUGGAUUGUGUAUGAAUCAUUCAAGGGAUUUUAGUACAGGGAAACCAACUUUAAAAUAGAAGUGCGCUAGAAUGUUGUAUGAUUAGGCGAUAUGAGGAAUAAGCACCAGCUGAAAGAUAUGAAGAGUAAACACCAGCUGAAAGCUCUGCUUCCUGAACACAAAUGCUGCCAUUAAGCAUAAGGCAACGGCAGAUGAUUAGGAAUAGUCUCUUGUCGUGGCCAAUGGUUUUGCUCUUCACUGGACAGUGAUUCAAUUGACGUGCUGAUUCAGGCAUUGAGAUUGACUUCAAGUAAGGAUGAGAAACUUCUCUUACACAUGAAUAAUAUGACAUAAAUAGAUAAUGAUGCAUUGAGGAGGUGGCUUAAAGAUUUAAUAAUACCAGCAGAGUUUCAAAGUUUGUCUUGAUUGAUUUCAUCAUAAAAGGGAUUCUUUGUGCUGCUAAAAUUUGGUGUCGACAUUGCCUCAAUUCCUUCAUCCCUUUCAGCAUUUUCAUAACAUUAACCCUCUUCUUGCCCUUACCAUUAGAAAGUUUUGGGAAUUGAGGUGUUGCAAGUUCCACUUCAUCAUCAACCAUCAUGUAAUGUGGGUACUUCUUGGAUCCUGAAGAUUCAAAAGGUGUUCCCACUAUACCAUCUAAUGCACUAUUAGUUAGAAAGACUUUUGGAAGAAUUAAGUCCAAAAUGAAUCAUUAUGUUUGAAUUUUUUUAUGACAUAUUUAUUCAUCAUUAGCAAUAUUUCACGCU